AGAACGAACGCUGGCGGCAGGCCUAACACAUGCAAGUCGAACGAAACCUUCGGGUUGAGUGGCGCACGGGUGAGUAACGCGUGGGAAUCUGCCCUGUGGUACGGAAUAACAUCGGGAAACUGGUGCUAAUACCGUAUAUCCCCUGAGGGGGAAAGAUUUAUCGCCAUAGGAGGAGCCCGCGUAGGAUUAGCUAGUUGGUGGGGUAACGGCCUACCAAGGCGACGAUCCUUAGCUGGUCUGAGAGGAUGAUCAGCCACACUGGGACUGAGACACGGCCCAGACUCCUACGGGAGGCAGCAGUGGGGAAUAUUGGACAAUGGGGGAAACCCUGAUCCAGCCAUGCCGCGUGUGUGAUGAAGGCCUUCGGGUUGUAAAGCACUUUCGCACGUGAAGAUGAUGACGGUAACGUGAGAAGAGCCCGGCUAACUUCGCGCCAGCAGCCGC
This 444-nucleotide ribosomal RNA is filed under the name uncultured bacterium. RNAcentral's name for it is "SSU rRNA". It matches the Rfam family "Bacterial small subunit ribosomal RNA", at positions 26 to 518 of the family's 1533-position model. The record is from RNAcentral.